UAUUCUGCCCCAUGGGGAAGGAUGAGAAGCUUCGACUAAGGUUCGACUCGAGCGCCAGCGAGAGAACGUUGCCGCAGGCAACGGCCCGAAGGGCGAGGCGCUUUAGCGCCGAGUA
This 115-nucleotide small RNA is filed under the name Klebsiella pneumoniae. RNAcentral's name for it is "partial RtT sRNA". It matches the Rfam family "RtT RNA", at positions 1 to 112 of the family's 130-position model. Rfam says of the family: This family represents a bacterial cis-regulatory element known as RtT RNA. The exact function of RtT is unknown although it is thought that it may be involved in changing the cellular response in relation to amino acid starvation. The record is from RNAcentral. Lineage: Bacteria; Pseudomonadati; Pseudomonadota; Gammaproteobacteria; Enterobacterales; Enterobacteriaceae. RNAcentral also lists the same sequence under 1 other name.